This 1442-nucleotide ribosomal RNA is filed under the name Pantoea agglomerans. RNAcentral describes it as "bacterial SSU rRNA". It matches the Rfam family "Bacterial small subunit ribosomal RNA". The record is from RNAcentral. Lineage: Bacteria; Pseudomonadati; Pseudomonadota; Gammaproteobacteria; Enterobacterales; Erwiniaceae.
GAUUGAACGCUGGCGGCAGGCCUAACACAUGCAAGUCGGACGGUAGCACAGAGGAGCUUGCUCCUUGGGUGACGAGUGGCGGACGGGUGAGUAAUGUCUGGGGAUCUGCCCGAUAGAGGGGGAUAACCACUGGAAACGGUGGCUAAUACCGCAUAACGUCGCAAGACCAAAGAGGGGGACCUUCGGGCCUCUCACUAUCGGAUGAACCCAGAUGGGAUUAGCUAGUAGGCGGGGUAAUGGCCCACCUAGGCGACGAUCCCUAGCUGGUCUGAGAGGAUGACCAGCCACACUGGAACUGAGACACGGUCCAGACUCCUACGGGAGGCAGCAGUGGGGAAUAUUGCACAAUGGGCGCAAGCCUGAUGCAGCCAUGCCGCGUGUAUGAAGAAGGCCUUCGGGUUGUAAAGUACUUUCAGCGGGGAGGAAGGCGGUGCGGUUAAUAACCGUGCCGAUUGACGUUACCCGCAGAAGAAGCACCGGCUAACUCCGUGCCAGCAGCCGCGGUAAUACGGAGGGUGCAAGCGUUAAUCGGAAUUACUGGGCGUAAAGCGCACGCAGGCGGUCUGUUAAGUCAGAUGUGAAAUCCCCGGGCUUAACCUGGGAACUGCAUUUGAAACUGGCAGGCUUGAGUCUUGUAGAGGGGGGUAGAAUUCCAGGUGUAGCGGUGAAAUGCGUAGAGAUCUGGAGGAAUACCGGUGGCGAAGGCGGCCCCCUGGACAAAGACUGACGCUCAGGUGCGAAAGCGUGGGGAGGAACAGGAUUAGAUACCCUGGUAGUCCACGCCGUAAACGAUGUCGACUUGGAGGUUGUUCCCUUGAGGAGUGGCUUCCGGAGCUAACGCGUUAAGUCGACCGCCUGGGGAGUACGGCCGCAAGGUUAAAACUCAAAUGAAUUGACGGGGGCCCGCACAAGCGGUGGAGCAUGUGGUUUAAUUCGAUGCAACGCGAAGAACCUUACCUACUCUUGACAUCCACGGAAUCUGGCAGAGAUGCCUCAGUGCCUUCGGGAACCGUGAGACAGGUGCUGCAUGGCUGUCGUCAGCUCGUGUUGUGAAAUGUUGGGUUAAGUCCCGCAACGAGCGCAACCCUUAUCCUUUGUUGCCAGCGAUUAGCUCGGGAACUCAAAGGAGACUGCCGGUGAUAAACCGGAGGAAGGUGGGGAUGACGUCAAGUCAUCAUGGCCCUUACGAGUAGGGCUACACACGUGCUACAACGGCGCAUACAAAGAGAAGCGACCUCGCGAGAGCAAGCGGACCUCACAAAGUGCGUCGUAGUCCGGAUCGGAGUCUGCAACUCGACUCCGUGAAGUCGGAAUCGCUAGUAAUCGUGGAUCAGAAUGCCACGGUGAAUACGUUCCCGGGCCUUGUACACACCGCCCGUCACACCAUGGGAGUGGGUUGCAAAAGAAGUAGGUAGCUUAACCUUCGGGAGGGCGCUUACCAC